CAAAAAUCAGAAAUAAAAUUGGGAAAGAUAGAGAGAAAAACUCCAAAAAUAUACUUCUGCUCAAUCUUCUUUCCAUGUUCUUUCAAUCUUCUUCCACCUAAAGACACAUUUCUAACCGAUCAAACUAUUCCGAGUGAGGUAGUAUACAAGCGAAAGAAAGUCAGUUUCGAUGAGGAUCUUGGUGAUGUUCAUUCGACAUGUCUGGUAAAGACCAGUUAACAUUCCUCUCGUCUAUCCCAUGAUUGUUGAUGUAAAACCUAAUGGUUCUGUCAUAGAAAAUACAACCUUUACUUCUUCAUUACGUAGAACUGCUCCAGCUCCUGCUAUUCCCGGGUUAUUUCUUGAAGCCCCAUCACAGUUGAGUUUAGGUAUCCCAGUUGGUGGCGGAAUCCAUCCUACAGAAACAGUAUAAUGAUAAGUUUAGUGGUUGUUGUUGCGCCUUGUUGGAGAGAGACCUGGAGCUAAUGGUGGUUGAUAUAGUUGUGCCCAUCGGUACUCAGCUGUUUCUUUAAUGAUAAGUAGCCUGGUGGUUUGGAGCGAGGAGGCAGAGGGUGGAGAAGAUUCUCAACAAUAGUGAGAUGAGAGAUAACAAGAGGCAUUGAGGGGUAUUGAGUUUGUAAAAAAGAUUUAACUUGGUUCCAAAUCAGUUGAGCUUGAGGGCAUAAGGAUAACAUGUGACAUAUGGGUUCUGGGGAUUCAUUGCACAAAGGGCACAAGGGGGUGUCGAUGAUUUGUCGAUGGUGAAGUAAUGCUCUAGUCGGAAGGCCAUUGUUUAGGGUUUUCCAUUUAAAA
Molecule: long non-coding RNA, 792 nt
Organism: Papaver somniferum (opium poppy)
Lineage: Eukaryota; Viridiplantae; Streptophyta; Magnoliopsida; Ranunculales; Papaveraceae
Exons: 3
Source: RefSeq, a predicted model, not a curated record